RNAcentral lists this non-coding RNA (27 nucleotides) under Mus musculus (house mouse). The record is from RNAcentral. Lineage: Eukaryota; Metazoa; Chordata; Mammalia; Rodentia; Muridae.
UGAAGAAGCUGACAGGGUGUUUACAGA